CCCUGUCGUUAGUUGAAUAGAUCUAACGAAACUGCCAUUUCAAAAUGGAGGAAGGCGGGGAUGACGUCAAGUCAGCACGGCCCUUACGCCUUGGGCGACACACACGCUACAAUGGUCAGGACAAAGAGUUGCCAACCCGCGAGGGGGAGCUAAUCUCGUCAAACCUGGCCUCAGUUCAGAUCGGAGGCUGAAACUCGCCUCCGUGAAGGUGGAGUUGCUAGUAACCGUAGGUCAGCACACUACGGUGAAUACGUUCCCGGGUCUUGUACACACCGCCCGU
This 280-nucleotide ribosomal RNA is filed under the name uncultured Chloroflexota bacterium. RNAcentral describes it as "uncultured Chloroflexi bacterium partial 16S ribosomal RNA". It matches the Rfam family "Bacterial small subunit ribosomal RNA", at positions 1103 to 1397 of the family's 1533-position model. The record is from RNAcentral. Lineage: Bacteria; Bacillati; Chloroflexota.